This 853-nucleotide long non-coding RNA is filed under the name Struthio camelus australis. RNAcentral's name for it is "lncRNA (ENSSCUG00000007613.1)". Lineage: Eukaryota; Metazoa; Chordata; Aves; Struthioniformes; Struthionidae. The record is from RNAcentral.
CUUCAGUAAUUGGCUCAGGUGAAAAAAUCACUUCUUUGUUAUCAGGGCAAACCUCUGGGAAAAUUAACCUUGUCUUGUAGGAUGAUUAUCUGGGAAGUUGGCCUAGAAACAAGCUGUAGCCCUGCCGGAUGGUGAAGGAGCUGAGCUCCGAUGGCGUAAGGAAGGGGUGGCUCUCCCCAGCACCCGGGGCCACGCGACUGCAUUUCCAGGAUGAGAUAAAUGUGGAACUGAGUCCUUUGAGGCCUUUGGGACAUGCAGGUCUGAACCCUGCGACUCCCCACCUCGUGUCUCUAGACUGAAGCUGCCAGGGGCUGAAACCGCAUUCAUGGAAAAAUGCGGUUUUGUGGAUGGUCCCCAAGCAAUGUCUGCUAACAGUACAAGUAAUUCUGUCCACAUGCCUCUGUGGAAGGUGUCUUGAUUUUAACAGAAGGUGCUGCCCUUCCUUUACCUUUUCUUAAGCUACCCUGCAGAGGUCAGGGGAGGAACUACUCUGACUCGGGCUUCCAGAGAGCAGGCAGAUCCUGAUAGCUGAUGCCCUUUGCUGUGACUAUCCAUUUGAAUUUUCAAGAUUGCCCAGUUUCCAAGGCACAAACAGAGCCCAGUCUCCACUGGAGCCCUGCAGGACUACAGGAACGAGUAAAGCAUGGCAAUAGAAGGUAACAGUGAUGCUGUUGUUGCUGCUCUACAAAUGGUCAGUAAACAGACAGCGAGGCUAAGCGAUGCACCCCAGAUCAUGCAGAAGUCUAACGGAGCAAGACCAUACUUAGCUAUUUCCAGAGGGAUUACAGAAACAACCAAGCUAACCUUGGAGCCAAAAGCAUGGUGCAGAGACAUCCUAAUUGUCUCCCUGUGA